Molecule: non-coding RNA, 31 nt
Filed under: Rattus norvegicus (Norway rat)
Lineage: Eukaryota; Metazoa; Chordata; Mammalia; Rodentia; Muridae
Source: RNAcentral
UGGCUGUUUAUCUGCAUAGUAUUUCUCUCUC